CUGACCUAUGAAUUGACAGCU
Molecule: microRNA, 21 nt
Filed under: Dasypus novemcinctus (nine-banded armadillo)
Lineage: Eukaryota; Metazoa; Chordata; Mammalia; Cingulata; Dasypodidae
Description: dno-miR-192-5p
Gene: dno-miR-192-5p
Source: miRBase by way of RNAcentral